RNAcentral lists this ribosomal RNA (454 nucleotides) under uncultured bacterium. RNAcentral describes it as "partial 16S ribosomal RNA". It matches the Rfam family "Bacterial small subunit ribosomal RNA", at positions 28 to 507 of the family's 1533-position model. The record is from RNAcentral.
GAUGAACGCUGACAGAAUGCUUAACACAUGCAAGUCAACUUGAACUUCGGUUUGGGUGGCGGACGGGUGAGUAACGCGUAAAGAACUUGCCUCACAGAUAGGGACAACAUUUGGAAACGAAUGCUAAUACCUGAUAUUAUGAUUAUAUGGCAUCGUAUAAUUAUGAAAGCUAUAUGCGCUGUGAGAGAGCUUUGCGUCCCAUUAGCUAGUUGGAGAGGUAACGGCUCACCAAGGCGAUGAUGGGUAGCCGGCCUGAGAGGGUGAUCGGCCACAAGGGGACUGAGACACGGCCCUUACUCCUACGGGAGGCAGCAGUGGGGAAUAUUGGACAAUGGACCAAGAGUCUGAUCCAGCAAUUCUGUGUGCGCGAUGAAGUUUUUCGGAAUGUAAAGUGCUUUCAGUUGGGAAGAAAAAAAUGACGGUACCAACAGAAGAAGUGACGGCUAAAUACGUG